This 253-nucleotide ribosomal RNA is filed under the name uncultured bacterium. RNAcentral describes it as "partial 16S ribosomal RNA". It matches the Rfam family "Bacterial small subunit ribosomal RNA", at positions 524 to 776 of the family's 1533-position model. The record is from RNAcentral.
UACAGAGGGUGCGAGCGUUAAUCGGAAUUACUGGGCGUAAAGCGUGCGUAGACGGUUAUUUAAGUCGGAUGUGAAAGCCCCGGGCUCAACCUGGGAAUUGCAUUCGAGACUGAAUAGCUAGGGUGCGGUAGAGGGAAGCGGAAUUUCCGGUGUAGCGGUGAAAUGCGUAGAUAUCGGAAGGAACAUCAGUGGCGAAAGCGGUGCACUGGUUGGUUACCGACGCUGAGGUGCGAAAGCCAGGGGAGCAAACGGG